UGAGGAAUAUUGGUCAAUGGGCGGGAGCCUGAACCAGCCAAGCCGCGUGAGGGAAGAAGGCCCUAUGGGUCGUAAACCUCUUUUGUCAGGGACCAAAAGCGAGUAUGUAUACUAGUCUGAGUGUACCUGAAGAAAAAGCAUCGGCUAACUCCGUGCCAGCAGCCGCGGUAAUACGGAGGAUGCGAGCGUUAUCCGGAUUUAUUGGGUUUAAAGGGUGCGUAGGCGGCGAUGCAAGUCAGCGGUAAAGCCCGGGGCUCAACCCCGGCGAGCCGUUGAAACUGCAGUGCUAGAGAAGGCGAGAGGUACGCGGAAUGCGCAGUGUAGCGGUGAAAUGCUUAGAUAUUGCGCAGAACUCCGAUUGCGAAGGCAGCGUACUGGCGCCUGACUGACGCUGAGGCACGAAAGCGUGGGGAUCGAACAGGAUUAGAUACC
This 432-nucleotide ribosomal RNA is filed under the name uncultured bacterium. Its description in RNAcentral is "bacterial SSU rRNA". It matches the Rfam family "Bacterial small subunit ribosomal RNA", at positions 355 to 786 of the family's 1533-position model. The record is from RNAcentral.